Molecule: long non-coding RNA, 307 nt
Filed under: Ananas comosus (pineapple)
Lineage: Eukaryota; Viridiplantae; Streptophyta; Magnoliopsida; Poales; Bromeliaceae
Description: long non-coding RNA (ACOM_LNC041416)
Source: RNAcentral
AUUGAUUAAUACUAAGUUGGCGAGUGAGAUAAAACAAAGUAAAAGUGAACAAUAAGGUAUCGUUUGGUUCGGAGAUAAGCACAAAGUGGCUAUUCCAGGAAUAGCCAUAAAUUGAGGGAUAAGCGGGGAUUAGAUAAAUUUUGUGUUUGAAUGAAAAUUGGGUUAUUCCGGGGAAUAAAAAAAAAUAACGUUUGGUUAGGUAAGAUGGAUUAAGAAAGUCAGUGGGUUUUAUAAAAAAAAAUUAAUGAUAUUACUCUUUUAUUAUAUUUGAAUUUGAAUUUUUAAAAUUUUAAAUUUAAAAUUUUAA